GGCUUGAACAGCGAAGAAGAACUGGGAUGAUGCUACAUUGCUCUCCAACAGAUGAUGAGCAGGCUCCCCACUUGCCCUGCAGCCAUCCCCAGGGCUCCGUUCAGCCAGGAUCCCUCGCUCCAGGGAACACGCAGAGCUCUCCUCCCCUCAGCGCCCUUCGUGCCGCAGCCCGGGCACGGCGCGUUGCGGCGGGGCGGGGCGGCGGAGGAGGGAGGCCGGUGCUGCCCCGUGGCGGCGGCCGUUGCCGGGUAACCGGGGCCUCCUCGGCCGCAGGUGGGAGCCGGUCGGGGCCUGUGGCGCCCGGUUUCUGUUGCUGGGAGCCUCUCUUCGUGCCCCGGUCCCUCGCAGAGAGCAGCUGGUGGCGGCCCACGGCUCCUGAGUGUUUGUGGAGCCGUGGGCGCCGCGUUAGCGGGCGGUUGCCUGUCCUGAGCGAUCCCACCUGCCCGUGUGGGCUGCUCGUGCACCCAGCCUGCACCGUCCUCGUGGAAAACUCUCCGUUGUUUCACCACGUGAAUGCUGCUGUUCAUCUCAGAGUUUUCCAUCCCGAUCAAAAUUUUCUGAUUCUUCUGUAUCAGUCUUUCACACGCACAUGUUUCCCUCUGGAAACUCUUCAGCUCUGCAAGGCUCUAUUGCUGCUCUACAACUGCUUGAAAGGAGAGACUGUGGCCAGAUGGGGGGCUCUUCUCCCAGGUUAUGGAGGAAUCAAACAAGAAAUUGCACUGUGGACAAAUGCGUCAUUGAAGAUAAAUAGAAAUGAAUGA
RNAcentral lists this long non-coding RNA (761 nucleotides) under Phasianus colchicus (ring-necked pheasant). Its description in RNAcentral is "lncRNA (ENSPCLG00000014312.1)". The record is from RNAcentral. Lineage: Eukaryota; Metazoa; Chordata; Aves; Galliformes; Phasianidae.